This 833-nucleotide long non-coding RNA is filed under the name Ananas comosus (pineapple). RNAcentral describes it as "long non-coding RNA (ACOM_LNC044507)". Lineage: Eukaryota; Viridiplantae; Streptophyta; Magnoliopsida; Poales; Bromeliaceae. The record is from RNAcentral.
CUAACCAGAGCAAGUGAAACUCCCCUAUGUUCUAUAUGUACCUAUAAAAUUAUCGCACAUAGGUGCAUUUAGUGAUUAUGUGAUUGAUAGAGAAUUUGGAACAUGUCACCGUAAUGUUUGAUGCUUAAGUAGAAUGAAAUCUCUAGAAAGUAGAGAACAUAUAUACGUGAAAGUAUUUAUAUUUAUAUUCAAUUCAGUUGAAUGACUUAUAAACAAGUGUAGGAUGCACUUAUAAAGUAGAGAACAAUGACAUUCUUUUGACUCUAAAGUAGAGAACUAUGACAUGCUUUGUGCCAUGAUAGAUUCUAAUGCCAGGUGUAAAUUAGCAUUACUCUCGCAUGCUUACUAAACUAGUGGAUUCUAGUUGUUGUUAAUAUUUGUUAUAUUGAAAUUCCGAUCGAGGAUCGAGACUGAGAACAUUGCAAAUGAAAACAUGAUAAUUGAAACAUGUGGACAGUGGAAUAUGCUUGCUUGCCAUCGUGCUCAUUCGCACACGCUUGUGAGGGUCGCUCCCUACAAGCCGGCACUCCGGAGUUGGCCUACGCGACAGUUGCUCGCCCUUGCGGGACUGGGUGCCGAAGUGGAUUGCUGUGGGGAGUGUACACUACCACGGGGCCAUUAGGCGCGGCACAAGCCGGACUACCUUGGGUAGGUCCUGAUGAAUGAAAGGAAAACUUACUAAAUGACAUGUGACAGUAAUGAAUAUUUUCUAGUUACCGUGUACAGUAGUUCCUUACUCAUUCGUGCUUAUGUUCAUGUUGUAUUCAUGCUUACAGUAGUUGCUAAGCUUUAUGUAUUCAGUUGAUUCAUUACUGUAGAAAGUAUCAUUACAU